This 492-nucleotide ribosomal RNA is filed under the name uncultured bacterium. RNAcentral describes it as "partial 16S ribosomal RNA". It matches the Rfam family "Bacterial small subunit ribosomal RNA", at positions 29 to 507 of the family's 1533-position model. The record is from RNAcentral.
AGUGAACGCUGGCGGUAGGCCUAACACAUGCAAUUCGAACGGCAGCACAGUAAGAGCUUGCUCUUACGGGUGGCGAGUGGCGGACGGGUGAGGAAUACAUCGGAAUCUACUUUUUCGUGGGGGAUAACGUAGGGAAACUUACGCUAAUACCGCAUACGACCUACGGGUGAAAGCAGGGGAUCUUCGGACCUUGCGCGAUUGAAUGAGCCGAUGUCGGAUUAGCUAGUUGGCGGGGUAAAGGCCCACCAAGGCGACGAUCCGUAGCUGGUCUGAGAGGAUGAUCAGCCACACUGGAACUGAGACACGGUCCAGACUCCUACGGGAGGCAGCAGUGGGGAAUAUUGGACAAUGGGCGCAAGCCUGAUCCAGCCAUACCGCGUGGGUGAAGAAGGCCUUCGGGUUGUAAAGCCCUUUUGCUGGGAAAGAAAAGCAGCAGGUUAAUACCCCGCUGUUCUGACGGUACCCAAAGAAUAAGCACCGGCUAACUUCGUG